Molecule: long non-coding RNA, 3311 nt
Organism: Oncorhynchus tshawytscha (Chinook salmon)
Lineage: Eukaryota; Metazoa; Chordata; Actinopteri; Salmoniformes; Salmonidae
Source: Ensembl
GUGAGUUUUCAUGGAUGCCAGGAGGAAAAAAAACAAGAAAUAGAAAAAACACAUCCAAAAUGUAGCUUUUGUCUCUCUGUGUUUCAUACAUUUCCUUCAAUUGGCAAGAGGCUAAAUGUAUCUCACCAGAGAAAGGAUCCAAGUUAAUGAAACAGUGCCCCUCUGUUUCUGUAUGUGUAGCCUAUCUAUGCUGUCAGGUCAAAAAGAGUAUGACAUUGUUGCCAGCAAGCAUUUGGCCUCCCUUGACCUAUAAACAAAUAUAAAUAAUAGCCAAUCAGCGGACGGUGUCGGGAACAAACAUCCGGUUAUCAGGGCUCCUCCCAGGGUUUGGCUGGGAAAGCUGCGCCUCACGGACAUGCUUCCCUAUUCCCUAGCUGAGUGCCGUCGCCAGGCAUGAAGUGGGAAGGAUCGUCUCGGGUUCCAGGAUAGCAGUCAUGGGGUUAUAGUGCAUCCGGCUUGACAUUAUUGGAUCCCAGCUUGCCUGGAGUUGAGGCGCUUGGCGGUGUGGAGAUACUCCAUUUUCUUGUGGUCAGUCCACAUAAUGUACGGAUGUUCCGCCCCCUCCAGCCAGUGCCUCAAAUUCCUCCAACGCCAUCUUCACCAUGAGAAGCUCCCGAUUCCCCACAUCGUAAUUCCUUUCCGUGGCAUUGAGGAGAUAGGAGAAUAAGGUGCAGGGAUGUAGCUUGAGGUCAAGGGCAGAAUGCUGGGACAGGGACAACCCCCACUCUGACGUCUGAAGCAUCGGCCUCCACCACAAACUGAUGUGAUGGGUCCGGAUGAACCAGGAUGGGAGCUGUAUUGAAGUGAUGUUUGAGGUCCCGGAACGCCCGGUUAGCAACUGGGGAACACGUGAACGGAAUCUUGGGCAAGGUGAGUGCUGACAGAGGGGAAGCCCGAGUGCUGUAAUCCUGGAUAAAGCGGUGAUAGAAAUUGGCAAACCCCAGGAAACGUUGCAGCUGCACCCUGGAUGUAGGCUGAGGCCAAUCCACCACUGCUCUCACCUUCCUGGGAUCCAUCUGGACACUCCCAUUAGAGAUGAUGUAACCCAGAAAGGGGAUGGAGGAGCUAUGGAACUCACACUUCUCCGCCUUCACAAACAGCUGAUUCUCCAGAAGGCUUUGAAGGACCUGCCGGAUGUGGAGCAUGUGUUCUUGAGGAGAGCUGGAGAAGACAAGGAUGUCAUCAAUGUAGACGAAGACGAACCGGUUCAACAUGUUGCUGAGAACAUCAUUCACCGGAGCCUGGAAAACAGCAGGGGCAUUGGUGAGGCCAAAAGGCAUGACCAGAUACUGGUAGUGGCCACUGGCCGUGUUGAAGGUGGUCUUCCACUCAUCCCCCUCUCGAAUCAUCCCCAGGUGGCAGGUGUUCCAUAGAUCCAGAUUGGAAAACACAGUGGCCCGCUGGAGUGGCUCGAAGGCCGAGGAGAUGAGUGGUAAUGGUAAUGUUUUUUUACCGUAAUGUUGUUGAGUCCCCGGUAGUCAAUGAAGAAGAACCCUGCACCAGCGGGAUAGGAAGAGGGACAAAUAAAUCCAGCAGCUAUGGAGACCCCAAUGUAGAUAUCCAUAACCUUGAUCUCCGGUCCCAACAGAAAGUACAGAUGUCCACAGGGCGGCGUGGUGCUAGGUAGAAGGUCAAUCACGCAGUCGUAGGGUUCAGUGCAGCGGAAGCGACGUGGCCCGGGCCUUGCUGAACACCUCCCGGAGGUCCCGGUAUUCCGCGGGAAUGGCGAAGAUGUCCGGGGCACCUUCCGAGCCCCCAGGAAGACGUCCUGGGGCAGGUUGUGCUGACUUCAGGCAAUGGGUAUGGCAAAACGGGCAAGUUGAUGAGGGGAUUGUGUCAUUGGAGCCAGGAAAAUCCCAAUAGCUUGGGAAUCAGAGGGGAUUUGAUGAGCAGGAACUGGAUGGCCUCGCUGUGGUUCCCUGACACCCGUAGGUGGAGUGGGAGUGGUGUUGUGGGUGACUCGGCCUAUAGAGUGCCCGUCCAGCGCUCUAACAUCCAUGGGAAUGGAGAGGGGCUGAGUAGGGAUGUUCAGCUACGAUGCCAGGGUAUUGUCUAAAAAACUCUCAUCGACCCCAGAGUCUAUGACAACCCAGAGUGAUUUGAACUGCUCUCCCCACAGCAGAAUGGCAUGAAAAAGGGUGCGAGCACGGGAAGCAGUAACGUUCUCCAUAUGGCCCACCAUAGUCCUUCCUCCUACCGGUGAGCCUGGAUUCUUUAGAGGACAAGAGGACACGAAAUUACCAGGAGUCCCGCAAUACAGACAACUCUUUGUGUCGAUCCUGUAUUGCCAUUCUGCUGGCAACAGACCAGCUCUGCCAAUGGCAUAGGCUCAGGAAGCUGUGACUCUGCAGUCUCGGCAGCUCUCUUGGCAGGUCGGGAAGCCUCAGGUCCUCCCGACAACAAAACCAUCGGGAGCUACCGGGUUGACUCAGAGGCCAGGUGGGAUCCCUGGGCGUGCGAGCGAAAUCAAAUUUCCUCUCCCUCUGUCGUUCCCGUAGUCGCCCAUCAAUUCAGAUGGUCAAAGAGAUGAGAGAAUCGAGUUCCGCAGGUAACUCCCGAUCAGCAAGCUUGUCCUUGACCUCCUCCAGGACAGCGUGCAAGAACAUAUCGAACAGUGCUUCCUGGUUCCUAGCACUCUCUGCUACCAACAUGUGUAAAUCCACCGCAUGGUCAGCCACACUGCAGGAGCCCUGCCGAAGAUGGAUUAGCCUCCGGGAAGCCUCUCUCCCAGAGUAUGGGGCUUAAAAAAUCUUCUUCACCUCUGCCACGAAUCCCUCCAGACAAAUGCAUAUGGCCCGGCCGCUGUAGUUCAGGUGAGAGCCCUCCUGGACAUCAGCGUGAUGAGAUAGUCUAUCUUGGAGUGAUCCGAGGGGAAGGAGGAGGGCUGAAGCUCGAAAAUGAGGGCACACUGAGCUAGAAGCGCCUGACAGGUACUGGACUACCCAAGCAUGGGGCCCAGUAAAUGGGGCUCCCGAGAAGGUGGAGUGGCCGAUGAGACGGCCCUGCUAGCAGCUGGGUUACUGAGAGGCUGUGGCAUUACCACCGUGGUAGGCUGCCUCCCAGACAACCCGUGGAAUUGCUCCAGCAAACCAUCCAAUGCCCGGUCAUGGCGUUCAGCCAACAUUUGAACCCCCUCAAUAAGGCCAUGAAGAAGUUCCUCAUACUCCCGAUGGUGGCUCCUUGGGAGGUGAUGGCGUCGCGCAGCUGGCCGGGUCUGCUGGGUCAGUCAUGGCCAGUUCAUACUAUCAGGAAAAAGGGUGCACGAUGUAUCUCGGCAGACUCUGUGCGGCCGGUUGACAGAUGGUUGUCGC